This 1404-nucleotide long non-coding RNA is filed under the name Equus asinus (donkey). Its description in RNAcentral is "lncRNA (ENSEASG00005032190.1)". The record is from RNAcentral. Lineage: Eukaryota; Metazoa; Chordata; Mammalia; Perissodactyla; Equidae.
GUGUCCUUCCCGCGCUCCCUGGCCCAGGCAGCUGCUCUGCCAGUGACACCUCCACCGUGUUCCUGCCAGGCUCCGCAAUGCCCCUGCCCACACAUGUACAGGCACCAAGCUGCCCUCUGCAUCUGCUCAGCUCAGGAUUGUGCACACAUGCAUGACUUUGGUCCUCCUGGCCAAAAGAUGGCUGCUGCAGCUCCAGGGUCUGCUCCUAUAUUUCAGCUAGGAAGGAAGAAGAGUGAAGGCUCAAUUGUAGAGGAAGGCAAGGAAGAAGGUGAUGAAACGGUGUGUGAGCCAGCCUCAGAGUAUGUCUGCCGCAGGAUAUGUGUGAAUGGAGCUGUAGGAGACAUUCCUAGAACUGGAUUCUUCUCACUGCAGCUGUUUGACCUGGCACUCAAGGCCUAAGAUCUGGAGUCUUGUCUCGUUCUUUCCUACGUGUCCCUCUGGCUCAGCACACCCAGUUUCCCAACUUCCCAGCACUGGGAUAUCACGUGCCCUGUUGCCUCCCGCCUCGGACCCCCCUCUCCUGGAAGGCGGGUGCCAUUUCUAUCCAGAUCCAUCCUCCUCUGAGGUUCAGUUUAUCUCCAUCUUCCCUGAAGCAUGGGCAGAAUGUCUCCUUUUUCCCCAAACGGAGAGUCUGUAUGUUUUUCUCUCAGUCUCCCUCCCAUGCCCAUCUUUCCUAGUAUUAUUCCCAGGGAUUUUUACCCCCAGGAAUUAAGGGGAACAAAGACCAACAGAGAAGAGACGGUCAGGCCCCAGGCUAGACUCAGAGACAAUGCCUGCCGCUUGGAGACAGCUGGGAUAUAUUCUCAAUCAAGGCCUCAUGGAUUUGUGCCUGAAUUCUGGAGGAUGGAGACCCCAAGGAGAAAGCAGGGAAGCAAUUUCACUGAGUCUCUGAAGUGUGUUGGGAGAUGAGGUGGCCCCUGGGGGUGGAGAGUGACCUGCUCCAUGUGGAUUCACAGUUGGGGGCCCUGGAAGUGGAGUGAAGUGGGAAGGGAAAUCCCUGUGAGAGCCUCAGCACCAGUAGUUCCCAGCACCCGUGGAGUGACACGAAGGAGCCUAUGAGCAGCAGUGACCUUGGCUCAGACAUCGGAGCCAUUGGUGGCAGCUGGAGCUGGUGCAAGAGAGACUCAGAUUACAUAUGCAGAUGUCGUCUUCAGGUCUGGAUGGUGAGCCCUUUGAAGUCAGACUCUCGCUGUCCUGCCAGCCUCCUCCUCCUGGAGUGUGAGCAAGAAGGAAGAGGGAGUUGCGGUCAAAUGCUUCAGGACCUCAUGACCCCUUAUACUUAUCCCUUCAUUCCCCAAUCUGCGGAGCUCUUUGAAGUCAAGAGUCUUGGUUAGAAAUAAAACAGGACAUGGAGUAAAUUUUCCUUCUUUUUUUGCUCCAUUCCUGUCCUCUAAAUCUUUAUAG